ACCCGCGCGUUCAUCUGGGCAGUAUUCUUGCCGUUGCACUCGAGGGCGCCGUUGAUGGCCCUGAUGGUGGCGCCGAACCCCUGCGACAUCACCCCGUGCACGUUGUUGGUCCAGAACCAGAGCGCCGUCUUGAACGCGACCACGGCGUCCUGCGCCACCCUGUCCGGGUUCCGAAGCCCGUCGAAGCCGAUGUCCCUCCCGGCAGGCCCGUAGUUGUAGUUCCACGAGAUUUGCAGCGGGCCGCGCCCGUAGUACUUCUGACCCGCGGCACACGGCCACUGCCUGUUGCUCGAGUCGCAGUAGGCGUUGUUCUUGUUGAUCUCGCUGAUGUAGCAGAAAUCUGUAUGUGGUGUCCGUAUCGAGUCGUGCACACAGCAGAAUUACAAAAAUCGAUCAGCAUUAUGCAUGGGUCAAAAAUCAAAGACGAUUACGAUACUGUGGAAGAGAGAUUAGAGUGUGUGGUCAUCAGUGGACGUUCAAUCAACUUACGUCCGGUCUCGUGCGUGAUGUGGGCGAAGAAGGCGGCGAUCUCGCGCUUGCCCUGCACCGACCUGCCACCGAAGCCUUUGUACGCGUCGGCGGCGCUCAGGAACGCGCUCCGGGUGUAGAAGUUCUUGCCCUCGCACCCGUUCCCGGCCUGGUUCUUGAUGCUGUUGAAGAAUGCGUCGGUGACAACGCCAGCCACGUUCCCACCUCCACUGCUGCCGCCGCCAGAGCGGCACGGGCCCGACUGGCACCCGUCGCCGCAGUACUCGUCGGUCGUGCCGCAGUAACCGAACUUGCUGCAGCAGUAACCUGCCUGGCAGCCGCAGUUCUGCGCGGCGGCAGCGCAGAGGAGUGCUAGGCCGAGAGCCAGGACCGCCAUGAUCCUCGGCGCGAUUGCCAUACUGGAUCAGAUCAGUAGUACUUCAGCUUCUGGCCAAAGGUUUGUUGCUGCGGUGCAGCUUUGUUGCGAGGUGAUUUGAGAUGUCACGAGGGUGCCGCUUUAUAUAGGCAUCAGAACGUGCGUCUUGCCGAUGCAUGGCAUGCGACGUGGAGGAUUUGGACGGAGUGGCUGUGUCCCGGUCCACGCAUAGCACUGGCACGUACUGUACGACCGUUCCACGCAUUGCACUGGCACGUACGACUGUUCCACAUUUUAUGAUGGACUUUUGACACAUGGGACAGCUAGCAUGUAUCGACAAGCACAAGUCUAACGUACGUUGGUCGAGAUAUCAUCAGAUUUGGAUUGCCACCGCCCAUCGCCUGAAUGCUCGGUGGAAAAUCCGCGCAUGCUAGCUGCUAGAAGCCAUUUGUUUUCCAUUCCUAUAGUUUUUUUUCCUGACAGAUGCAGUCGCUCGUAAAUACGAGUGUACACUCAACCCUAUGAACAUACACGUACACUUAACUUCUAUGAACAUCUUCGAAAAAACAAAUUAGACCAAUAAAUCUUGAGAGACGCCUCGUUAUCAACAGGAACAUUACCUAUAUUGCAAAUCAAAGGAUCCUGAAAAAUAAGAGAUGCUGGAGAAUAAUAAUGAAGCCGAGAAGGACAAGUGAAGUAAAAGGAGAAGUUUGUAUUUUUUUGCCACCGGAGCCCGUCUGUUCCUUUGAAACUUUUUUCUUAUUCUAGUUUUUGGGAUGUUGUCUGUAAUCUUCAAUCUAGUUUCGCUGUUAGUGUAGCAAAUUGUUCGCUUUCUUAAACUCUGGUUAGUUGUAAGUGGCUGGUCUGGUUCUGUUUCUGUCUACACUAUGUUCUGAAUUAUAUUUCUGUUGGAAGUAAUGAAAAUGAGGAAGAUCCUUUGUAUAAAAAAAGAAUAGUGUCAUUAAAUCCUAGAAUAAAUCUUUCUUAUUCUAGUUUUUGGGACGUUGUCUGUAAUCUUUAAUCUAGUUUCGCAGUUAGUGUAGCAAAUUGUUCACUUUCUUAAACUCUAGUUAGUUGUAAGUGGCUGGUCUGGGUUCUGUUACUAUCUACACUCUGUCCCAAACUGUAUUUCCAUUGAAAGUAAUGAAAAUGGGGAAGAUCCCUUCUAUUGAAAAAAGAAUAGUACCAUUAAAUUCUAAAAUAAAUCUUUCUUAUUCUAGUUUUUGGGACGUUGUCUGUAAUCUUCAAUCUAGCUUCACUGUUAGUGUAGCAAAUUGUUCGCUUUCUUAAACUCUAGUUAGUUGUAAGUGGCUGGUCUGGGUUCUGUUCCUGUCUACACUCUGUCCCGAACUGUAUUUCCGUUGGAAGUAAUGAAAAUGCUUGUAUCGAAAAAAAUAGUUCCAUUAAGUCCUAGAAUAAAUCUAAAAAAAUUCAAGUAGCUGUGUCAAAUCAGUUAAACUUGGACGGUCAGGUUUCACCACAAUCCAACCAGCUGAGCUCGCUCAGUUUGCAUAUUUCCUAUAGUCUGUUUUGUCUUUGUCCUUCCGUAAAAAGAAUUAUAAUUAUUUUAUUGUGAUUUGUGCUAAUAGAUUUAGAACGUUAGAUAGAGAUCUGAUAGUGUUAACCGUCGCCUGAACAAAUGCUAUAUUUCAAACACGUGUAACUUUUCUCGUAUACGUACUGUUGCUUCAAAAAACUCCAUGUACCUCGCAUGUGAGUAUUUAUUGGUGGCCUUGGCCUGCGUGUUCCAACUAAGGCUACCAGAAAUGGUCAACCAAGAACGGAAGACUUCCAAGCUAGCUACCGGUGAUGGAUUGGGCCAUAUGCAUGAUCAAACGAAGUCGUAGAUAGCUUUCUAUAUUUUUGUUAUUUCUGUAGAAGGCUCGUUGGCUUUUUUCCUUCCUUAUUCUCAUUAUGCGUGGAUUUAGAAUAGAAGAGUUCUAGCACUCAAUACAGCGGAAGAUUGUUCUCGUGCCUCACUUUAUUUAUUAAUCGCUCCCUCUAUCGUGUAGUAUAUUCUAAAAAUUAUAAGACAAAAUAAAGAAGAAUAUAAAAUACGUAUCUACCUUUGCUUUAUUUCUUGAUGAGACGUUAUUAUCAACUUAAUUAAUGGUGAUUGGUUGAUAAAUAGAAAAUAUUUUUAACGCCCCCCCCCCCCCACCCCCCACUGACACAAAUUUUGGGCCGUGGUGUAGUGCCACUAAAUGAUGGUGAUUGGUUAAUAAAUGGCAAGUAACACUACCAUACCUACCAAAUUUGUGCAACUAUUUCAUUCAAAAUUAUUUUUCCUCUGUAAUCCCUUGGUUUUGGGUUUAAUUUUUAAUGUUUGUAUGCACUAUAUUAUAUGACAAAAGGAAGUAUAUAACACCCCCUAAUGUCCAGUGUUCGCCGACUGACUUCUCUUUUAAUCAGCCGUGGAAACUGGUUGAAUAUAUACUGUAUACUUACAUCCAAACCCAUGCAAGGAGACCCUUGAAAAGAACACAAAAUUUGCACUGAAGUUAUUUUUUGAGGUUUGAUCUAUCGCAUAUGUGGCCUACCAUUAGGGAUUAGCAGCGCUGGAUGCGCUCUGAUCCACUGUUACUUGGUACUCCUACUAGCCUACUAGGUAAUAAUGUAAGCGUAAAGUAAUCAAAACUCAUCAACAGAGGAAGAUUUGUGAUCGAUAGUAUAUGCAUAAGAUAAUUCAAUCGGAAUAAGAGCAUCUCUAACAGUUAUGCAAUUGGAAUUUGCCAUUUGUUUGAGUUUGCCAAGUCUCUAAACGUUUUGCCAAAGGAAAAAUAAGUUCAUCUCCAAGUGUUUGACAUUUUUGACUUGACAUUUCCCAAAAUAGUGGACCCAACUAUUUUUGUCCGGAAAUCUUUCAUCUUCGCGGGAAAUUUUCUCGCACGUCGCGCGGGCGCUUUCUUUUUCGCACGCAAUUCCUUCGCCCGUCGCGUUCCUUUGUCGCGAUCGAUCUCCGUGAUCAACUCGACGCGGCAGCAGCGCGUGGACUUCGACGUCUUCCUCACGCCGGUGAACCCCAACAAGAUGACGGCGUUGUGGUACAGGAGCGGCACGGUGAAGAUGCGGCGAUGGAUUUCCUAGCCUCGCGUCGCUGCAAGAAAAGGAGGCAGUGAUGGAUCUCUUUGUCCCUGCGCAAAGAAAGGAGACGGCGCGCGGGGGAAAGAAAAGAGUCGCGCGCGAGGAGGACUCGUCUCGCGGGAAACUACCGCGACGUGGGGGUACGACAAGGAGUCCAAGAUUCUCAGGAUAUCAAAAUUGCCAAACCAUUGUGCUUAUGCAAAAAUGCCAAGUUUGGUCCAUCAAAUGUCAAGUUUGCCAAAAUGCAUAAGUCAAAUGUAAAAUUGUUGGAGAGCAAUUUUUAAGGUUUUUGGCAAAUUUCAAGAAUGCAAAGUCCAAUUGCAUAAUGGUUGGAGAUGCUCUAAGAAAUUUGUUUUUCAUUGCAUAGCUCAACCAUUCAGGUACUAUGUUGCACAAGAACCACUUUUCAUCAUGAUUGGUUAUUGGUAUAUGGCCUUCUUUGUGUUUGCAAAAUCUCUCAUAUUUCCAUGCGUUUGGCGGAGAGCGACAAGGUGUGUGUCUCACAAAUCAUCUCCUUCCUCUUAUUUCUUCAACAAAUCAACAUAGGCACAGGUAUGGCUGGAAGGGGCCGAUUCAGCCAAGAGAGCAGCCACCAGCGGCAACGGAUGAAACCGCAAGCUUCACCUAAUCACCACCCACGCACCCGAAGAUGGUUUUAAUUGGUCGAGGCUAGUAACAAGUUGGCCGAGCCUAAGAGCCUUCCCGUCCAGCGGUCGACAACAACAAGUAGAAGGUAGAAGAUAGAUGGAGAUAAAAUGGUAGAUCUGACAUAGAGUUAUCCUAAAUACGUGUGUGCGGAGACGAGAGAACUGCGGCGGACUCAUCUGCACAUUUGUUGAAGCUCGCCUAGACACAGACACUGUUUAUUGAUUUAGUCUUUAAACCCUUGAUGCAAUCGUAGUAAAGUACAAGCGCGAGUGUACACACUAAUGUUUCGAGGGUAUAGUUGCUUCAUUAUUAGUAAGGUGCAACAAACAGGCUCAGCCCCAGCGUUUUAUUGUUACUACUAGCUAGCUCGUACUCGCUAAACUCUGUGUUUCGCGAGGGUGCGACGCCGAGCAUGCAUUUUCUGGACGAGCCAUCCAAGGACUGCCGACGCCACUCGCCUAGCAAGUGAGGUUGGGCCCGGGGUCGACGCCGAGCUGCCGGCAGUACUGCUUGUAGUAGCCCACCCGCGCGUUCAUCUGGGCAGUAUUCUUGCCGUUGCACUCGAGGGCGCCGUUGAUGGCCCUGAUGGUGGCGCCGAACCCCUGCGACAUCACCCCGUGCACGUUGUUCGUCCAGUACCAGAGCGCCGUCUUGAACGCGAUCACGG
RNAcentral lists this long non-coding RNA (5243 nucleotides) under Sorghum bicolor (sorghum). Its description in RNAcentral is "long non-coding RNA (SBIC_LNC011301)". The record is from RNAcentral. Lineage: Eukaryota; Viridiplantae; Streptophyta; Magnoliopsida; Poales; Poaceae.